RNAcentral lists this ribosomal RNA (138 nucleotides) under Erinaceus europaeus (western European hedgehog). Lineage: Eukaryota; Metazoa; Chordata; Mammalia; Eulipotyphla; Erinaceidae. The record is from RNAcentral.
GUCUAUGGCCAUACCACCCUGAACACACCCAACCUUGUCUGAGCUGAUCUCAGAAGUUAAGCAGGGUUUGGCCUGGUUAGUACUUGGAUGGGAGAAAACUUUUAUUGAGCCAACAAGAUAACUCAGUUGGCUUGGAGC